Long non-coding RNA from Uranotaenia lowii, 515 nucleotides. RefSeq lists it as uncharacterized. The record is from RefSeq and is a predicted model, not a curated record. Lineage: Eukaryota; Metazoa; Arthropoda; Insecta; Diptera; Culicidae. The transcript has 2 exons.
UGUUAGUCUACCCGGGCUGGCCACUUCAACCGGAUUAACAAGCGUCAUAUUGGCUCAGGAUACUUAAAAUCCUUUGGCAGAAGAAAAAAAACUACUGGUUGGAGCAUUCCGAUGUGCACAGAAAAAACAACCGAGGAAAUACGAGAAAAUAUCGUGUUUUACAUGGGCUGUCGCGAAACGUCGGAUUCUUACUUUUAUCUGUGGCUCUACUACAUCCGAUCAAAAAACUUGGGUGUGCUUGAGUGAUCAGCUAAGAGAACGGCACUGGAUAACAUUUUCCCUAUCAGAAGGUCAGGGAAUCGGAGAUUGCGGUGAGGUCGGUCAGGAACUGAUGCUGAGGCUUCGUCCCCCAACCUUCCAGUAUAGUUCGAACAUUAGUUUCUAGGCGCUGAGUGGUAACAUUUGGGGAACCUUCCGAAUGGAACGUGAGAAUUAGCAUACGUUCAAUUUUCUCAUUCAAUUUUUUUUCUCAUGAUAUUAAACCCGACAAUCCUUACGAAUUUGGAUGAAAUGCA